Long non-coding RNA from Carya illinoinensis, 1025 nucleotides. RefSeq lists it as uncharacterized. Lineage: Eukaryota; Viridiplantae; Streptophyta; Magnoliopsida; Fagales; Juglandaceae. The transcript is spliced from 3 exons. The record is from RefSeq and is a predicted model, not a curated record.
UCCCCAUCCAGGCCAUCCCCGUCCAGCGCUCCCACCCCAAUGUCUCUAUCUUAGUCUCUCUAACCCGGAAAAGUCUAAACAUCCUCGGGGUGCAUCCCCGUUGCUUCCCCAUUGCCUACAUGGCAACUAAAUCCAACGACGCCAUUUUCAACUUAAUAGCAGAUUUGAAAAUGACUCCCGUGUUUGCCAUCAAUCUCGUGUCUCUCUUCAAUCUCGUCCCUCUCAUCUCUCUCUUCUCUGAAGCCUCUCAUCUCACAUGAACCCUAACCCUAACCUCUCAUCAUCCCUCUCAUCCCAUGCUAACCCACCCGAACCCUAACCCUAACCUCCAAGCUGAAACCCAAACGAACCCUAACUCAAAGAUUAGGGGAACCCAUUAUGCACAGUUGAGAAACAACCCAUUCGAUUACGAUACAACCACCGCGAGCUGCACGGGCAGUACAUAAGUUGUGGGAAGACCGAAGGAAUUUAGAUUGGGAAAAGAAUUGUGCUUCUGCGAGCUGAAAGCCACAUUGAAAUGGUCAACUACUACAAAAAAUCCUAGAAGACCCUUCUUAGGGUGUUCAAUAUAUAAUACCCAGGGCUUACCAUAUUGUAAGUUUUUCAAGUGGUUGGAUGGUAAUGAAGUGAUUGAGCUACAAGUUCAAGAAAGAAUUGAUGAAUUGUUAAAGAAAGAGAAAGAUGUAGAGAAGAUACUUGAGAUGCUGGAAAAGAGGGAGAUUGAGCUCCGUAAGAUAAUGGAUCGCCUCGAGAGAGUAAGCAUGGUGCUGUCCAAUAAAAGUGACGAGGUUACGCAAAACGAGUUCAUCAAUAACGCACAAGAAGCUAGAAGAAAAGGAUUAUGCACACUAUUUUGGAUUUAUUGUUGUUUUGUAUUUGUACAUGCAUUUUACCUAGUGUUAUAUAAGUGAAUUUGGGAUUGUUGUUAACUAGUGUUUUGUACUUUGUGGAAUAUUAUCCUAGUUAUGUAACUGAGAUUCAUUGAAUGUAAUUGAAGUAAAAGCUCAUCUUGUUUCUGUGCCAAA